RNAcentral lists this ribosomal RNA (305 nucleotides) under uncultured bacterium. Its description in RNAcentral is "bacterial SSU rRNA". It matches the Rfam family "Bacterial small subunit ribosomal RNA", at positions 337 to 640 of the family's 1533-position model. The record is from RNAcentral.
UCCUACGGGAGGCAGCAGUGAGGAAUAUUGGUCAAUGGGCGAGAGCCUGAACCAGCCAAGUCGCGUGAGGGAAGACGGUCCUAUGGAUUGUAAACCUCUUUUGCCGGGGAGCAAAAAGCGGUACGUGUACCGCAUCGAGAGUACCCGAAGAAAAAGCAUCGGCUAACUCCGUGCCAGCAGCCGCGGUAAUACGGAGGAUGCGAGCGUUAUCCGGAUUUAUUGGGUUUAAAGGGUGCGCAGGCGGCGAGUUAAGUCAGCGGUAAAAUUUCGGGGCUCAACCCCGCCAAGCCGUUGAAACUGGCUUG